RNAcentral lists this long non-coding RNA (236 nucleotides) under Salvia miltiorrhiza (redroot sage). RNAcentral's name for it is "long non-coding RNA (SMIL_LNC009004)". The record is from RNAcentral. Lineage: Eukaryota; Viridiplantae; Streptophyta; Magnoliopsida; Lamiales; Lamiaceae.
UUAUUUUAUUUUUAGUUUAAUUUCUGUUUCUGAUUUUUGUUUGUUGUCUCAGGAGUGUAUGAUCACGAGAUCCAAAGGAAAAGAACAUCUUGUACCUUUGAAUUUGGAAAUCGAAAAGCAGCAUAAAAGAGACAACCGCGAAAAGAAGAAGCAAGCAAUGGCAUAGCAACGUAAUAACUUGGAUCUUGAAACCCUUAUGCGAACAGUGACAGACCUUCAGAGGCAGCUAGAUGAAG